AUUGAGGCAGGGCCCUAGAGACCACAUUCUGGGCCUUAAGAGCACAGCCUGGAGUGGGUAGUGGUCCCUCAGUUUUGGCUCUGUAAGGACAGUGGCUGUUGCAAGGAAUCAAAGCAUGGUGCACAGUGUGGGGCAAAGGUGGCAAAGCGCUGAGCUGGGCGGGUGUGGGAAGGGCGUUGGCAGUCUGCUGAGCCCAGAGGAUAGACAGUACUGGGAGAGUCAGCUCAGAAUGGGGGUAUUUGAAGUGAAUGAUCCCUCCAGGACACAGAUACAGCAGCCUAGGAAAGGGAUAACGGGGCCUUGGGGAGAAACCAUAGCAGCCAGCAUGGGCAUCAGUCCUGCAGGCAGUCUUCAGAACUUCUUUCUCCAGCUGAAGCCCAGGGGGUUGGGUGUGGAAGGGCAUCUGGCUCUUGAGGUGCUUCCUCACUCUGCAGGGUGGGAUGAAGGCAGAGGACAGCCACGCUUGCAGGGGUCAUCCCAGCUUUUCUCCCACAGCCAGAGCUCCCUACCUCUCUUCAUUCUUCUCCAGGAUGUCUGGUCAGAAACCUAGCCCUUACUUCCAGGCAGACUUCUCUCCCGAGCUUGAUUAGGUCAGAAAUGACAGGCCUCUGGAUUGCGCCACCUCAGUGACAUCUUUGGGAGCCCAGGUCUGUCUUCUUGUUCUAAUCUUCUGGUUUCUCCACCACCAGAUCACACCUCCUAAUCUUUCAAUGUCACAAGUGCCCAAUACUCCCGGCUGUCCCCAGGCUUAUUCUGAACUGCAGACGCUGUCCCCCAGUGAGCGGCAGUGUGUGGAGACAGUGGUCAACAUGGGCUACUCGUAUGAGUGUGUCCUGAGAGCCAUGAAGAAGAAAGGAGAGAAUAUCGAGCAGAUUCUCGACUAUCUCUUUGCACAUGGACAGCUCUGUGAGAAAGGCUUCGACCCUCUUUUAGUGGAAGAGGCUCUGGAAAUGCAUCAGUGUUCAGAGGAAAAGAUGAUGGAGUUUCUUCAGUUAAUGAGCAAAUUUAAGGAAAUGGGCUUUGAACUGAAAGACAUUAAGGAAGUUCUGCUCCUACACAACAAUGACCAGGACAAUGCUUUGGAAGACCUCAUGGCUCGGGCGGGAGCCAGCUGAGAUAGGCCUUGCCUAGGCCCUGCCACGGAACCACCCCUGCCAGAGGCCCUGAGCAGCCCAUCUGUGGGGAAGGAGAAGGGGUACACUUCUGGAUUUUCUUUUGGGGGUGGAAGGUCAGGUGUGGAGACGGUGCUCGCCAGGUCUCUAUGAGCCGAGGCCCUGAGCUGGGGAGAAAGUGGGAAAGAUUUGGGCAGGCUCAUGUGCCCAGAACUGUCCUGGCUCCUUCCAUAUUAAAUGUAUUUGUAUUUUGAGAAGUGUCCUUCCCACCUUGGCCCUCCAGAGAGACUUCUCUGGUCUUUCUGGGGUCUGUUUGGCCUCAACCGGAACCCACCCCAGCUGCCAGAAGGAGCUGGGGAGAAGGGGUGGGAGGGCCAGACUCAGUGCUGCUUUGGGGCUAGAUGUUUUCCUCCUCUGCAAGGGUGGACUGACCUCUAAUCCAGGUUGAGUGCAAUUGAGAGGUUCUUCCAGGGUUUUGUUUUUUUCCCCCUUCAUGUCACUUAGUGUUACACUGGUUCUGCAAUGUCUCUGAGGUGCAAAGAAUGCCCUUUCCCCUUGGGGCCCUAGUUUGCCUUUUCUGCUAGGCAAUUGCAUUACUUUCCUGCCCCAGCCUGUUUCUUUUGGUCUGGUUGAGACCACAGUCGUUUGCUACCCAGGAUUUUAGAGCCCCCUUGUUCUAGGAACAGUUGUCAUUUUAAGAAAUCAUUGGCCCCUUCCCAGUGCAUCAAGUGGGGAAGAAAAAAACAGGCGGUGAUUUGGUCACUCAGCACUAACUCCACCUCAGUUCUCCCUGGAGAACAGCCUCUCCCUCCAGCCCUUUGCUCUAGGAUGACACAGUAACACCUAGUCAUAGAAAUCCGUCUCUUUGUUUUGUAUUAUGUUGUACAUCAUUAAAGAUCUAAAUACAGAGGAUAUACAGUCUUGAUGAAUCUAAUGUAAUUUGCUAACUAUUUUCAUUCUUCAGAGAGAACUACUAAUAAAAAUCUAAAAGGU
This 2105-nucleotide long non-coding RNA is filed under the name Sus scrofa (pig). RNAcentral's name for it is "lncRNA (ENSSSCG00060045227.1)". The record is from RNAcentral. Lineage: Eukaryota; Metazoa; Chordata; Mammalia; Artiodactyla; Suidae.